Molecule: long non-coding RNA, 1934 nt
Filed under: Sus scrofa (pig)
Lineage: Eukaryota; Metazoa; Chordata; Mammalia; Artiodactyla; Suidae
Description: lncRNA (ENSSSCG00015040963.1)
Source: RNAcentral
GUAAAAGAAAGGGGGAAAUAAAGAAACCACAGCCUUCAUCUGGCUUUUAGGGAACUUAGGACACAUGGAAGAAAGCGCUUGGAAGGCUAUUGAAAUAUUUACAAAACAAAUCAUUUACGUUUAACUUUUGUAUAUGUAAAACCCGGAGAGCUGCCUACAAAGACAGAGGCAACUUUAGUUAUGAGAUAUUUUGGCAUCAAAAUGGUUAAUAGUAUUAUAGCUUCAAAAGAGCCUAUUGGCUCACCCUCAAGGAUGCCCUGCAGUUGUUGUUAAAGUCAUCACAUGAAGCUAGCCUGCUCAGCUAGCCUUUAGAUUUGUCUGCUAACAGUAAAAAUACUAUAAUAAAUCGGUAACAUAUGUUGCCAGGCAAGGAAAAGUGAUAUAAAUAAAGAGACCAGGAGACCCAAACCAAGUACAAUGUGAAAAGAAUUUAACUUUCAAUCUCUGCGUUGGUUAAUUACCAUUUGAAAAGUCAUUUGAAAGUGUUACUCUUAUUUGCUUAUAUUCUUCCUCAUUUUUUUUUUUUUCUCUUCAGAUUGCAUUCUUACCCAAAUACUCUUCGUGAUGGCCUGCUUUGCGGCUUUGGGAUUCUUUAGGGAAUGGAGAUCAGUUUCAUGGAUGACAUCCCAGUUUUCUCAUCAUCAGAAAAGAAAAAAAUCCUCUGGCCAGUGGAAGAAACAGUCACCAAAACGUGAAACAGCCUGGUGAGACAGCAAUAUUCAACUACGAAAAGACCAACAGCAUUGGUCAUGCCAUAUUGUACCUGUCUUUCGGUGUUCCUGCUGCCCACAGGCCUGGAAGCUUCAGACAGACAGGAUCUUGCAUUUUGGCUACUCCUGCACAUGGCCCAGAGUCUGGUAACCAGAAUGAACUUGAGUUGCGGUUAAACAGACAUGCGAAUCCUGCACCCCCACUCCAAGCACUGAGUAUAUCUUCUAGAACCAUAGCCUCUGCCUGGGGGAGGACUGAGCCUGCCCAGCAAGCUCACCGCAAGCUGGGAGAAGCCCAGACUCUGCAGGCACGUGGUUCUGCAGAACGAGCCCUGGAUGGACUCAGGCAGGCACACCCAGUGAUCUCUCCUAGAUUCAACAAUCAGGCCAGCAGCUGGUGUGACACUAAAUCUUCCCAGAGAAACAUAAACCCAGGAAAUGACAGCCUUGUCCCUAGCAUUGGCCUCAAUGCUCAUUGACAUAUCGAAGAAACUAAAGGGUGAAAGGAGGUGAUGGUUAAUUUUAUGCAUCACCUUGGCUGGAUGAUGGUGUCCAGUUAUUUGGUCAAACACUAGUCUAGAUGUUGCUUGAAGGUAGUUUUUAAAGGUGGUUAAAAUUUAACUCAAAAUAUUCCGAGUAAAGCAAAUUGCCCCCCAUGGUAUGGGUGGGUCUUAACCAAUCAGUUGAAGGCCUUAAGCACAAGGACUGAGGUUUCCUGAAGAAGAAAUUCUCCUCAAGACGGCAACAUCGACUCUUACCUGAUUUUCCAACCUGCCUUACAGACUGCAGCCUUGCCAGUCCCACAACUGCAUGAAUCACUUCCUUCUCUCAAUCUCUCUUUCUAUUGUGUGUCUGUGUGUGUAUUCGCCUUCUGGUUCUGUUUCUCUGGAGAACCCUGCCGAUACAACCGACUAUGUUGAAUCUGUAGCAGAAGAGGUAGGGUGAUGGCCAUGAAACCCAUGUUCGAGUUUCUAAUGGGUUCUCUAGGAUGAGGUCUUGGGCUUAUUUAAUGUGUCACAUCACUCUGACUAUCUUGAGAUGCUUGAGUAUCUGAGAUGCUUUAGAUAGUGCCUGAUGGGUCUUAUCAGUGGUGCUACAGAAAAGACGCUCAUGUUACAAGAAAGCUGAAUCAGAUGGCUGCCUGCUAGGGGUACUUCAAACUGUUUUGAGGACACUGACAUUAUCUAAUGCUUCUGUUAAAUAAUUAUAAUGUGAUUCCCCCCC